RNAcentral lists this ribosomal RNA (254 nucleotides) under uncultured bacterium. RNAcentral describes it as "partial 16S ribosomal RNA". It matches the Rfam family "Bacterial small subunit ribosomal RNA", at positions 524 to 776 of the family's 1533-position model. The record is from RNAcentral.
CACGUAGGGGGCAAGCGUUGUCCGGAAUCAUUGGGCGUAAAGAGCUCGUAGGCGGCUCAGUAAGUCGGGUGUGAAACCCCCAGGCUCAACCUGGGGACGCCACCCGAUACUGCUGUGGCUAGAGUCCAGUAGAGGAGUGUGGAAUUCCCGGUGUAGCGGUGAAAUGCGCAGAUAUCGGGAGGAACACCAGCGGCGAAGGCGGCACUCUGGGCUGGUACUGACGCUGAGGAGCGAAAGCGUGGGUAGCAAACAGG